Molecule: non-coding RNA, 27 nt
Filed under: Mus musculus (house mouse)
Lineage: Eukaryota; Metazoa; Chordata; Mammalia; Rodentia; Muridae
Source: RNAcentral
UGAAGAUUUAUUCAAUGUGGCCAGGCC